This 455-nucleotide ribosomal RNA is filed under the name uncultured bacterium. Its description in RNAcentral is "bacterial SSU rRNA". It matches the Rfam family "Bacterial small subunit ribosomal RNA", at positions 30 to 504 of the family's 1533-position model. The record is from RNAcentral.
UGAACGCUGGCGGCGUGCUUAACACAUGCAAGUCGAACGAUGAAGCCUAGCUUGCUAGGUGGAUUAGUGGCGCACGGGUGAGUAAUAUAUAGAUAAUGUGCCUCUUAGUCUGGGAUAGCCAUUGGAAACGAUGAUUAAUACUAGAUACUCCUUCUCUAUCUAAUUAGAGUCGGGAAAGUUUUUUCGCUAAGAGAUCAGUCUAUAUCGCAUCAGUUAGUUGGUGGGGUAAUGGCCUACCAAGACAAUGACGCGUAGCGGGUUUGAGAGGAUGAUCCGCCACACUGGUACUGAGACACGGACCAGACUCCUACGGGAGGCAGCAGUGAGGAAUAUUGCACAAUGGGGGAAACCCUGAUGCAGCAACGCCGCGUGGAGGAUGACGCAUUUCGGUGUGUAAACUCCUUUUAUAUGUCAAGAAAAUGACGGUAGCAUAUGAAUAAGCACCGGCUAACUCC